Molecule: ribosomal RNA, 460 nt
Filed under: uncultured bacterium
Lineage: Bacteria
Description: partial 16S ribosomal RNA
Rfam family: Bacterial small subunit ribosomal RNA
Source: RNAcentral
CCUACGGGUGGCAGCAGUGAGGAAUAUUGGUCAAUGGACGAGAGUCUGAACCAGCCAAGUAGCGUGAAGGAUGACUGCCCUAUGGGUUGUAAACUUCUUUUAUAUGGGAAUAAAAUGUUCCACGUGUGGGAUUUUGUAUGUACCAUAUGAAUAAGGAUCGGCUAACUCCGUGCCAGCAGCCGCGGUAAUACGGAGGAUCCGAGCGUUAUCCGGAUUUAUUGGGUUUUAAGGGAGCGUAGGUGGAUUGUUAAGUCAGAUGUGAAAGUUUGCGGCUCAACCGUAAAAUUGCAGUUGAAACUGGCAGUCUUGAGUACAGUAGAGGUGGGCGGAAUUCGUGGUGUAGCGGUGAAAUGCUUAGAUAUCACGAAGAACUCCGAUUGCGAAGGCAGUUCACUGGACUGCAACUGACACUGAGGCUCGAAAGUGUGGGUAUCAAACAGGAUUAGAUACCCCUGUAGUC